ACCUACCUAACAGAAGCUUGUCGUGAGAGGAAAACCUAAGCAUCCGUCUUUUCGGAGGAGGGGAAAGAAAAGAAAGACAGAGAGAGCCCUAAUUCGGAGAAGAAGGGUAUUGGGAACAGGAGAUGGGCAAGAAGAAGAAGAGGGCUUCAAAGGUCUGGUGUUAUUAUUGCGAUCGAGAGUUCGACGAUGAGAAGAUCCUUGUUCAGCACCAGAAAGCCAGACACUUUAAAUGCCAUGUCUGCCAUAAGAAGCUCUCCACCGCAGGAGGAAUGGCUAUACAUGUUCUUCAGGUCCACAAGGAGUCCGUUACCAAGGUUCCUAAUGCUAAACCUGACAGAGAAUCAACGGAAAUUGAGAUUUUCGGAAUGCAAGGGAUCCCACCUGAUAUAUUAGCAGCGCACUAUGGAGAGCAAGAUGAAGAUACCCCAUCAAAGAUGGCCAAAGUGGAGAUUCCAACGCCAAAGCUCGGUGCUGUGGUCCAUGGAGCAGUAGGUAUUGGGUUUCCUCCGCAAUCCUCUCUGGGUGCAAUGCAACCAAUUUACAAUUCUGCAUUAACAGUGCCUCCUUCAGGUUGGCCAGCUCCUCCCCGGCCACAACCUUGGUUUCCACCGCUUCCAGCAGUUUCAGUGCUUCCUGCUACAACUGUGGGAAUGGCACAGCAGCCUUUGUUUCCUAUACAGACUGGCCAGCCUCCUCUUUCAUCUAUCACAUCCCCACACCAACCACCAUUUCCAAUCACUCCACCUGGAUUACCCUCAUCCACACCGCUUGUUCCUGUAUCUCAACCUUUAUUUCCAAUUAGUGGGAGUGCUACUGGCCCAACUCAUAGUUCACCAUUUUCUGCCCCUGUGCCUUCAAUGACAAUUCCAUCGAGCACUUUAACAGAGCUUAAAAGCUUGGUUGACACAUAUUCAAGUGUGAACUCUUCUACUGGAAACAGCUACCAUACUCCAAUUGUUCAAGGUGGUUCAUUUUUCAAUUCGCAUACAUAUGCUUCAGGUCCAAAUACUGGUGGUCCUUCCAUAGGGCCUCCUCCUGUGAUUGCUAAUAAAGCUCCGGCAACUCAACCAGGAACAAAUGAGGUUUAUUUAGUUUGGGAUGAUGAGGCCAUGUCCAUGGAGGAAAGAAGAAUGUCCUUACCAAAGUAUCAGGUGCAUGAUGAAACUAGCCAGGUAAGUUGUCACUAUAUCUCCCUUCUUAUUCAUUCAUAUGGAUAUGUGAGUUGCUUUGCACAUCCAAAUGGAUGCGAAGGUUUAUUAUAUUUGCUGCUUUUCAGAUUCCAUUUUUCAGACAUUCUUGUGUAUGUUAGAGGUACUUUCAUAUGAAUUCCGGGCCUUAAUUUUUUCCCAUUUUAAAUAAGAACACAUUCUGAAAAGAAUCUACGGGUCCUUUAAUCAAAUAUUAUUCUAGUUCUUACUAUGUUAGCCGAGGGGGCAUGGUGCUAUUUUUAACUGCCACUCUGCGGUUCGCAAGCAUUUCCACCGAUUUUGUGGGCAUCAAAAGUUUCAAGUAGGUAUUCACAUUAUCUUUGCUGGUAGUUAGUAUUUACAAAUCUGACAAGCAUGCUGUGAUCAGCUGGAGGGUUCUUCAACCUAGCAUCGGUUCACGCGAAAAAAAUAGCGUAUGUAUUUGCUUUGUUGAAAAUUUGAAUUUGUUGGUUGGUAUUCAUUCUCCCUAUACUUGAUUACGAAGUGUGGGGUUUUGGUAAGAAGGAGAAUAUUGCCAACAGGAUUUUUCCAAUUCAUAGCAUUUCUUGUUAUCUUUUAUGAUCGCACAGUGCAUUCAGACUUGCCCCAGAUGAACUCAGUUGAUGCUGCCAUAGACAGAAGGAUAUCUGAAAGCAGGCUUGCUGGUCGAAUGGCCUUCUAGUUGUAUCAUGCUCAUUGUGGAUGAGCCAUAUACAACUCUCCAGGAGGCAAGCAUUCUCGAAGUACCAUAGACCAGAAUCCCAGUAGUAAAUUCAUGAUUUUUAUUUAUUGUGCAUUCUUUUGGGAUGACACCACUGAUCAUGAAAAUUCUCUGUUGUAUUUUUUCAAAAGAAGAUUAGAAUUAGAAUUUUGAAAGCCAAUUUUUCUAUA
RNA transcript from Telopea speciosissima, 2078 nucleotides. It is a transcript of the gene named protein SUPPRESSOR OF FRI 4-like, with no coding region annotated. The transcript has 7 exons. Lineage: Eukaryota; Viridiplantae; Streptophyta; Magnoliopsida; Proteales; Proteaceae. The record is from RefSeq and is a predicted model, not a curated record.